CCUACGGGAGGCAGCAGUGAGGAAUAUUGGUCAAUGGUCGGGAGACUGAACCAGCCAAGCCGCGUGAGGGAGGAAGGUACAGAGUAUCGUAAACCUCUUUUGUCAGGGAACAAAGGCGGGGACGUGUCCCCGGCUGAGUGUACCUGAAGAAAAAGCAUCGGCUAACUCCGUGCCAGCAGCCGCGGUAAUACGGAGGAUGCGAGCGUUAUCCGGAUUUAUCGGGUUUAAAGGGUGCGCAGGCGGUCUGUUAAGUCACCGGUAAAAGCACGGGGCUCAACCCCGGCCCGCCGUUGAAACUGGCAGUCUCGAGUUGGAGAGAAGUAUGCGGAAUGCGCGGUGUAGCGGUGAAAUGCAUAGAUAUCGAGCAGAACUCAGAUUGCGAAGGCAGCAGGCCGGCUCCACACGGACGCUGAGGCACGAAAGCGUGGGUAUCGAACAGGAUUAGAUAACCUGGUAGUC
This 459-nucleotide ribosomal RNA is filed under the name uncultured bacterium. RNAcentral's name for it is "partial 16S ribosomal RNA". It matches the Rfam family "Bacterial small subunit ribosomal RNA", at positions 338 to 795 of the family's 1533-position model. The record is from RNAcentral.